CGUUCGUUCACCUGCGGAAGGAUCAUUC
This 28-nucleotide ribosomal RNA is filed under the name Agroathelia rolfsii. RNAcentral's name for it is "Athelia rolfsii partial small subunit ribosomal RNA". Lineage: Eukaryota; Fungi; Basidiomycota; Agaricomycetes; Amylocorticiales; Amylocorticiaceae. The record is from RNAcentral.